Sander lucioperca (pikeperch) is the source of this 121-nucleotide long non-coding RNA. RefSeq lists it as uncharacterized. The record is from RefSeq and is a predicted model, not a curated record. NCBI's taxonomy places the organism in Eukaryota, Metazoa, Chordata, Actinopteri, Perciformes, Percidae. The transcript is spliced from 4 exons.
UUUAUAAUACUGAUUUUCACCAAACUAUGCAUCCCCACUAACCUAGAAAGCGUUUUAAACAGUAAUGUUAAUACAGCGUGUCGGAGGAAUACAGCGUCUCUUUUUUUUCUUUUUUCUUUUU